UACGUAGGGGGCAAGCGUUGUCCGGAUUUAUUGGGCGUAAAGAGCGUGUAGGCGGCCAGGGAGGUCCGUUGUGAAAACUCGAGGCUCAACCUCGAGACGCCGAUGGAAACCCCCUGGCUAGAGUCCGGAAGAGGAGAAUGGAAUUCCUGGUGUAGCGGUGAAAUGCGCAGAGAUCGGCAGGAACACCCAGGGGGAAACCAGUGGACUGGGCAGGAGCUGACGCUCAGGUGCGAAAGCGUGGGGAGCGAACCGG
This 253-nucleotide ribosomal RNA is filed under the name uncultured bacterium. Its description in RNAcentral is "partial 16S ribosomal RNA". It matches the Rfam family "Bacterial small subunit ribosomal RNA", at positions 524 to 776 of the family's 1533-position model. The record is from RNAcentral.